UUGAUUACAAAAAUGUUGGAGGUAUGCCCUAGAGGCAAUCAUAGAGAUGAUGAUAUUCCAUUUGUAUCCAUGAUUUAUAUUGUGUUUCUUGAAUAUCAAUUAAAGGCUACUUGAAUUGAUUUGCAAUUAUGUGAAUUGUGUGUGAAGCUCUUUUCUUGUAUGGUUAUUCUAAAGUUGUCCCUAGUCGGAGUUCAUGUGAGGACACACAUGAAUAUUAGACUAGCACAUGUAUUAGUUGAUGACUAUGUUUCACAAGUCAUAGACAUGGAGAUGUUGAACUAAUAACGUGGGCACAUGUGGAGACAUGUGCUAGGACUGACCCAACACGAGAAGUAGUUCUCUCUUUAAACAACAUAUACGCUUUGUCCUUAGACCUGAGAUUGUCGCAUGUAUUCAAGAUGUGGAUCGACCUACUUAGGGGCUAUCAAACGUUACGUUGUAAUAGGGUAGUUAUAAAGGUAACUUUCGGGUUUGUCAAGAAGCAUGCUGUGAAACAUGGUCAAUCAAGAUGGGAUUUGCCCCUCUCUGAUUGAGAGUGAUAUCUCUGGGCCCCUCGAGUGAUCGGAUCCAAAAAUGCAUGGCCAUGCUACGUACGGUUAAGAGUUGACCUACAAUGGGAUUCCGAAUCACAGGAUCGAGAAAGAGCGGUCGGCUUCAAGCUAGACCAAAUAUCGUGAGGCAAAGUGAAUAGCAUGUAUCUAAUGUUGUGAUGGUUCGUCUGAUAUGAUCUUCGUGUGCAUAUAGGAGUUGGCACGUCUUGCUAGAGGCUGCUACCGACUAUUGGGCCGAGUAGGAGUAAUCGGGCCAUGUCUAUAUGUAUCCGAACCCAUAGGGUCACACACUUAAGGGGUUGGAAGCCCAAUUCAGAUGUGAUCCGAGUUGGAUUAUGUUUAGAAGUACUAAUGGGCCUCGGACCCAGAGGCCCGUUAGGAACCUCUAUAAAUAGAGGGGUGGGGGCGCCCUAGGGUUUACACCUUUUGGAAAACACAUCUGUCGCGCCUCCCACGCCCUUGCCUGUUGCAACUCACGGGUCUAGCAGUCCGGCUUGCAACGCUUCCUCCCUGCACGUGUGGAUACCUUGGAGGUGUUGCGCCUGCAGCACUUGGACGAGCCGCCGACGAGCCACGACGAGCCGCGGCACGAGGACGAUCUUGCUGCACGUGGACGAGCUACUGAGGAGCUGCUGGACGUCGACGUGAUCGACUACGUACGACUACGUUGAUCGACUUCGCUGCAUCGAUGCGAAUCUACAUCUUCCGCACCAGUAGUGCGUAGAGUGGUAAUCCCGUGAUCCUUAUACGGCAGUUUUCCUGGUUUACGCGGUAGAAAUUUUUGAUUUGCGCUAGUGCAGCCUACCUCGUAUCCCAACAGUGGUAUCAGAGCCGUAGCUGUUUAGUUUUGGAUUCGGGAUGUGUGCAUAUGGAGAUAUGCGAGUUUUCAGUUUGAUCUAUGUCCUAGUUUCAUGUUUUUGCUGCAAUGGUAGUAUAACGACAUACUCCUACCGGUCGGUUUCCGCCAUCGGAGUUAAGUGAUACACGUAAUUCCAGUUGCAGUGAGCGAAGAUCAAUGUGAUUGGUCGAAUCGAAAUCCAGGUUCAUACGCCAGGCGCAUGAGAUGUGCAAUAGUAGAUGGGAUCUACUACCGGGGUCGGGAUUUUGCCGUGUGCGUAUGCUUCGGUAAAUCAGCCGUAACUUUUCGGUACGAUCUCGGAUUGGGGCGAAUUUUAUAUGAAAUUUGAUCUACAGAAAAAGUUACACAUGAAAUUCAACCGCUUUGCCGUUUUUGGCAAAAUUAGAUUUCCCAAAUUUGGCUUGGAAGAUAGAGUUUCGGGCAUCCGAAGUUUGGAACGUUAGGACGCUUAACUCUAUUUUGCAGGAUGUAUGUAUGUAUCUUGUGAUCAGUAUGGCCCCUUUGUGUAUGUGAUGCAUGUGUGUAACUCAUUCGUGACCUACGUGUCGCGCGUACGGCAACAUGGCAGGAGCCAUAUGUGUUGUCACCUAAAUGUAUUUAAUGGUCUGCAUACCAAUCUGUGAUGAUCCAAGCAACUAUGUAAUCUUCAUUACUAGCUUCUUUACUAGCUAUUAGGCGUAAUAGCAUGUUCUAGUUCUUGGAGGACUCAUCACCAGGAGGAUGGCGCACAUGGAACAUGGAGAUGGAGAUCACCAUGGUGAACAGUUUCUAUGGAGAUGGAGAUCACCAUAUGAAAACGGGUCAUACUGUGUCACAACUGUGUGAAUGCUAUUCUGUUUAUGUUUUACUUUCUGCAUGCUGUGAUGUUAGAAGUAGAAUGAUCCCUCACAAAGUUUAAGUUAGUAUGCCCUCCCAACUAAAACUUGCACCGUCCCAUGUCUUGUACAAUUAGUGGUGGGUCUAUGAAAUUAGGGUGCCACUAGUUUUCCUUGAUUAGACGGGUUUGUGUCGGACACUUACACGCAUAAGGGUUGGUUUGCUUAACAAGGUUAACUUAACGGUUAAGGACCUUGGGGCAUAAAGGUUGGGCGCCGAGACAUGGAGAUGUCAACCAACAAUAGGAGUCAUAUGUGAUAUGAUUAGCAAAAGUUGCUUACCAAUCUACCUUAUUUGCUAGCGGUGAUGCUAAAGCUCACUAGUAGACUUGUUAGUUGUGGAUCCUGAAUCACUAAGUAUCAAUAGAGGGAUAUUUAUUUUAGUGGGAGUAGAUUCUGUUAAAAUAGUUUAAUGUGAUUUGCUCUAUCAUGGAUACGUUUGUCUUAGUGUAUUUUGCAUUACUUUUGUUGUAGAUUAAAUGGCACCUAGCAACACCACACCGUUUGCUUUGCGUUCGGUCCUUGAGAAGGACAAGUUGAAUGGAACAAACUACUCAGAUUGGAUCCGUAACCUGAGAAUCGUUCUCAGGGCCGAUAAAAAGGAAGAUGUUCUAGACACCCCACUAUCACCAGUACCUGCUGAUGAUGCAUCUGCUGCCGUUAAGGCUGCUUACAAGAAGGCAUUUGAUGCUAAUCUUGAGGUAAGCUGCCUUAUGUUUGCUUGCAUGGAACCCGAGCUGCAGAUGCAGUUCGAAACAAAUCAUGAGGCACACGAUAUGAUCGUGGCACUCAAGGACAUGUUCCAGACACAGGCUAGGACUGAAAGGUUCAAUGUGUCCAAAGCCUUUCUGGAGUGCAAGCUAGCAGAAGGCGCAGUAGUAGGACCACAUGUAAUCAAGAUGGUUGGUUACACUCAGCGAUUGGAGAAGCUGGGCUUCCCAAUGGGCAAAGAGUUGGCCAUUGACUUCAUUCUUUUAUCUCUUCUGCCUAGCUAUGGGAACUUCAUCUCGAACUACCAUAUGCAUGGGACGGAAAAGGGUCUGAAUGAACUGUGUGGUAUGCUCGAGACAGCAGAGGUAGACAUUAAGAAAAGCGCUAGUACCAGCCAUGUGAUGGCUGUACAGAACAAGCCUACCUUCAAGAAGAAGGGCAAUUCUUGGAAGAAGAAGGGAAGGCUGGAGUGUCCAAGCCAAACCCAGCACCCAAGGCUAAAGCUGGACCUGCUCCAAAUAAAGAGUGCUUUUAUUGUCACGAACCUGGUCACUGGAAGAGAAACUGCAAGCAGUACCUAGCUUCAUUGAAGAAUGGCGGAAGUAAGAGUACUUCUACCUCAGGUACGCUUGUUGUUAAUGUUAUAGACAACAUUUUUCUCGCUGAUACAAUUAUUAAUUCUUGGGUAUUUGAUACCGGAUCGGUUGCUCAUAUUUGCAAUUCGAUGCAGGGAAUGAUAAGAAGUAGAAGCGUGGAAAGAGGAGAAGUUGAUUUCCGCGUGGGCAAUAAUGCAAGAGUUGCUGCGUUGACCGUCGGGACGAUGCAACUUCACCUCCCGUCAGGAUUUAUUAUGGAGUUGAAUAAUUGUUAUUUCGUUCCUAGUUUAAGUCGAAACAUUUUGUCUCCUUCAUGCUUGAUGAAGGAUGAUUAUUCAUUUGCGAGUGAAAACAAUGGUUGUGUGAUCUCUAAGAAUGAUAUGUUUAUGGCUUUUGCACCUAUUGUGAAUGAAUUAUUUGUUUUAAAUCUUGAUGGUUCACCUGUCUAUAACGUAAGUGCUAAAAGGUCUCGGCCUAAUGAUUUGAGUCCUACCUACUUGUGGAAUUGUCGUUUGGGUCAUAUAAGUGAAAAGCGCAUGAAGAAGCUCCAUUCUGAUGGACUUCUAACUUCGUUUGAUUUUGAAUCAUACGAGACAUGUGAGGCUUGCUUUCUAGGCAAGAUGACCAAGACGCCUUUCACAGGAUUUCCUGAGAGAGCAGUAGACUUGUUGGAACUCGUAUAUAGCGAUGUAUGCGGACCAAUGAGCACGACGGCUAGAGGAGGAUUCCAAUACUUCAUAACUUUCACUGAUGAUUUUAGUAGAUAUGGCUAUGUCUACUUGAUGAGGCACAAGUCUGAAACCUUUGAAAAGUUUAAGGAAUUUCAGAAUGAAGAUGAAAAUCAACGCGGCAAGAAAAUUAAGGCCUUACGAUGUGAUUGUGGAGGCGAGUAUUUGAGCCACGAGUUUAGCAAUCAUCUAAAGAGUUGCAGAAUUGUUCCAAAACUUACGCCGCCUGGAACACCUCAGAGAAACGGUGUAUCCGAGCGACGUAAUCGAACUUUGUUAGACAUGGUUCGAUCAAUGAUGAGCCAGUCGGACCUACCGUUGUCAUUUUGGGGAUACGCUCUAGAAACAGCAGCUUUCACACUUAAUAGGGUACCAUCUAAAUCUGUAGUUAAGACACCAUAUGAGAUGUGGACUGGAAAGGUUCCCAGUUUGUAUUUUCUAAAGAUUUGGGAUGUGAAGUGUUUGUCAAGCGACUUCAGUCGGACAAGAUCACACCCAAGUCGGAUAAGUGCAUUUUCGUGGGAUAUCCAAAGGAAACUUUGGGAUAUUAUUUCUACAACCGGUCAGAGGGCAAAGUGUUUGUCACUCAGAAUGGGGUUUUCCUAGAGAAAGAGUUUCUCAAAGGAGAAAAGAGUGGAAAGACAGUGCAUCUUGAAGAAGUUCAAGAUGAGCCGAUUGGGCAAGAAUCAAUGAGUGAUGCUAAUGUAGCAGAACAAGUUGAGAUACCCAUGGCAAGAGAAGCACCGCCACAACCACGAAGGUUGGCAAGGCUCCGCGAAAUGCGGGAAAUAUUAUUGUUGGACAAUGAUGAGCCUGCGACAUAUGCAGAAGCAAUGAUGGACCCAGACUCCGAAAAAUGGCAAAGUGCCAUGCAAUCCGAAAUAGAGUCCAUGGGAGACAAUCAAGUUUGGAACUUGGUUGACCCGCCUGAUGGUGUUAAAGCCAUAGAGUGCAAGUGGAUCUAUAAGAAGAAAAAGGAUAUGGAUGGAAAUGUUCACAUCUAUAAAGCACAACUUGUCGCAAAAGGUUUUCGACAAGUUCAAGGAGUUGACUACGACGAGACCUUCUCGCCCGUAGUGAUGCUUAAGUCCAUUCGGAUUAUUCUAGCUAUAGCUGCAUAUUUCGAUUAUGAGAUAUGACAGAUGGAUGUCAAGACAGCUUUCCUGAAUGGAAACCUAGCUGAGGACGUGUAUAUGAUACAGCCUGAGGGUUUUGUCGAUCCGAAAAAUGCUGGAAAGGUAUGCAAGCUUCAAAGAUCUAUUUAUGGAUUGAAGCAAACAUCUAGGAGUUGGAACAUUCGUUUUGAUGAAGUGGUCAAAGGGUUUGACUUCACCAAGAACGAAGAAGAGUCUUGUGUUUACAAGAAGGUUAGUGGGAGCUCUGUAGUAUUUCUAAUCUUAUAUGUGGAUGACAUAUUACUGAUUGGAAAUAAUAUUCCUAUGCUUGAGUCCGUAAAGACUUCACUAAAAAAAUAGUUUUUCGAUGAAGAACUUAGGGGAAGCGGCAUAUAUUCUGGGCAUUAAGAUCUAUAGAGAUAGAUCGAGAAGGCUUAUAGGUUUAAGCCAAGAUACUUACAUUGACAAAGUGUUGAAGCGGUUCAGCAUGGAAGAGGCAAAGAAAGGGUUCUUGCCCAUGUCACAUGGCAUACAUCUCAGCAAGACUCAGUGUCCUUCGACUGCUGAUGAGUGGGAUCGCAUGAGUAGAGUGCCAUAUGCCUCGGCUAUUGGAUCUAUCAUGUAUGCAAUGAUAAGUACUCGCCCAGAUGUUUCAUAUGCGCUAAGUAUGACAAGCAGACACCAGUCUGAUCCAGGUGGGAGUCACUGGACAACGGUGAAAAACAUUCUUAAGUACUUGAGAAGGACUAAAGAUAUGUUCCUCGUCUAUGGAGGUGAGGAGGAGCUCGUUGUAACGGGUUACACCGAUGCUAGUUUCCAAACCGACAGAGAUGAUUCAAAGUCACAAUCAGGAUUUGUGUUCACGCUAAAUGGUGGUGCUGUUAGUUGGAAGAGUUCCAAGCAGGAGACGGUGGCCGAUUCUACGACAGAAGCCGAGUACAUCGCGGCUUCGGAAGCCGCGAAGGAAGGUAUUUGGAUAAGUAAUUUCCUCAUUGAGCUUGGUGUGUUCCCGAAUGCGUCCAGCCCAUGGAAUCUCUACUGUGAUAACAAUGGGGCAAUUGCGCAAGCAAAGGAGCCAAGGAACCACCAGAAGAACAAACACGUAAUGCGGCGAUUUCAUCUCAUUUGAGACUUCGUUAACUGGGGUGAGAUCAAGAUAUGCAAAAUACACACGGAUCUGAACAUUUCUGAUCCGUUGACAAAACCACUCCCGCAGGCUAAGCAUGAUGUGCAUGUAAGAGCUAUGGGUAUUAGGUACCUUCUAGAUUGACUCUAGUGCAAGUGGGAGACUGUUGGAGGUAUGCCCUAGAGGCAAUCAUAGAGAUGAUGAUAUUCCAUUUGUAUCCAUGAUUUAUAUUGUGUUUCUUGAAUAUCAAUUAAAGGCUACUUGAAUUGAUUUGCAAUUAUGUGAAUUGUGUGUGAAACUCUUUUCUUGUAUGGUUAUUCUAAAGUUGUCCCUAGUCAGAGUUCAUGUGAGGACACAUAUGAAUAUUAGACUAGCACAUG
Molecule: long non-coding RNA, 6941 nt
Filed under: Setaria viridis
Lineage: Eukaryota; Viridiplantae; Streptophyta; Magnoliopsida; Poales; Poaceae
Description: long non-coding RNA (SVIR_LNC010420)
Source: RNAcentral